GUUUGAAAAGCAUAUCUGGGUUUUCUAAUCUUCUUUUCCCCCUUCUUUUUGCCUGGUUUUAGCUCAGUUUCAGACCCACUUGCAAAGCUUGCACUUUGUGAUGAUGAGUUAAGGUCCUUGAAUUCUGUUCUUGGUAGUAGUGCUGCUGCUUGAUUGUCCAUCUUCAACCCCAAGAACCCAUUUGAAGUAUCCCCUUGAAAAUUGUUAAAAACAUGAGAAUUUGUCAUGGUUGACGAUGCAGGAUAAGAAGGCGACCCUGUCGAUGAAAAAGGAAAUAACAUUUGAAACUUUUCCAUGGAAAUAAGUAGUGCAUACAAAAGAAAGAAAACAAGAACAAGAAGAAGAAGUAGACGUAGAGGAAGGUCUAAAGGGGUAGAGAGUAAU
RNAcentral lists this unclassified non-coding RNA (384 nucleotides) under Hevea brasiliensis (rubber tree). The record is from RNAcentral. Lineage: Eukaryota; Viridiplantae; Streptophyta; Magnoliopsida; Malpighiales; Euphorbiaceae.